This 433-nucleotide ribosomal RNA is filed under the name uncultured bacterium. RNAcentral describes it as "partial 16S ribosomal RNA". It matches the Rfam family "Bacterial small subunit ribosomal RNA", at positions 29 to 507 of the family's 1533-position model. The record is from RNAcentral.
AACGAACGCUGGCGGCAUGCCUAACACAUGCAAGUCGAACGAGACCUUCGGGUCUAGUGGCGCACGGGUGCGUAACGCGUGGGAACCUGCCCUUAGGUUCGGAAUAACUCCCCGAAAGGGGUGCUAAUACCGGAUAAUGUCUUCGGACCAAAGAUUUAUCGCCUGUGGAUGGGCCCGCGUUGGAUUAGCUAGUUGGUAGGGUAAAAGCCUACCAAGGCGACGAUCCAUAGCUGGUCUGAGAGGAUGAUCAGCCACACUGGGACUGAGACACGGCCCAGACUCCUACGGGAGGCAGCAGUGGGGAAUAUUGGACAAUGGGCGAAAGCCUGAUCCAGCAAUGCCGCGUGAGUGAUGAAGGCCUUAGGGUUGUAAAGCUCUUUUACCCGGGAUGAUAAUGACAGUACCGGGAGAAUAAGCUCCGGCUAACUCCGUG